This 229-nucleotide ribosomal RNA is filed under the name uncultured soil bacterium. RNAcentral describes it as "partial 16S ribosomal RNA". It matches the Rfam family "Bacterial small subunit ribosomal RNA", at positions 26 to 255 of the family's 1533-position model. The record is from RNAcentral.
AGAUUGAACGCUGGCGGCAGGCCUAACACAUGCAAGUCGAGCGGCAGCACGGGUACUUGUACCUGGUGGCGAGCGGCGGACGGGUGAGUAAUGCCUAGGAAUCUGCCUGGUAGUGGGGGAUAACGCUCGGAAACGGACGCUAAUACCGCAUACGUCCUACGGGAGAAAGCAGGGGACCUUCGGGCCUUGCGCUAUCAGAUGAGCCUAGGUCGGAUUAGCUAGUUGGUGA